RNAcentral lists this long non-coding RNA (1635 nucleotides) under Salvia miltiorrhiza (redroot sage). Its description in RNAcentral is "long non-coding RNA (SMIL_LNC005032)". The record is from RNAcentral. Lineage: Eukaryota; Viridiplantae; Streptophyta; Magnoliopsida; Lamiales; Lamiaceae.
GGAGAAGAGGCGGUGGUUCAGGGAGAAGAAAGAGAGAGAGGGGACCGAUUUGAGAGAGAGAGAAAGUGAGAGGUGAUUUUCUAUUCUUUUGUUUUAGUUUGAUUUUUUCCAAUUUGGGCUUUAAGCUAUAAUUGGGCUUUAAUUUAGCUAAUGGGCCGUAUUUUUUUAUUCUAAAUGGGCUGCUGUUUAAUAAAACUUAUGGGCUCAAUUUAUGUAUUAUGCUUGGGCCUUAUUAAGUCAUUGUAGGUUUUCCUCAAAUUAUUUCUUGGACAUAAUUAUUAUUUUGGGCCUAUAAAUGAUUUAAUAAAUUUAUUAAUUCUCCCAAGUUUAAGGUUUGUAUUUUUUGAAAUUAUUAAUUAUUUAUAAGUCUUAAAUUUAAUAUUAUUAAUUAUAUCUAUUAAGUUAUUAAUUAUGUAUUAAAAGUUUGUGGAUUCACUUAAAGAUAUUAUUGAAUUCUUAUUCGGGCAAAGUGUAUCAAUAGUUAGCAAUCCCCAUAUUUGUUUAGAAGUUAGAAUAGCACCAAGAGACCUAUUAAGAAUAGAUUUCUUGUAGGCUUGAGGAUCAGGAGGAUUAGCACUGCGUUUCCGUGACGGGUUUACGAUUAAACUACAGGCUUUGCCUAUUCAGGUGGGCUUUAUUUUAUAUACAAUGUAUCUUGAGUUACAUAAGCUCUGAUAUUUCAUGAAAAUUAUCUGUUUAUCCAAUAUAAAUGUUUUUAUGUGCGUUCUGUAAUUGUUUAAGGCUCACUUAAGUAUCGAUCGAGAUUCUCAUUUGGCCUAACACGCUAAAUGAGGAUUGUGUACACAGGGUUAGUGGCUCGAUGAGUUGAUCACCAUCGUGCACUAACAGAUUUAGAACGUUAUAAGGGUGGGUGCUUGACAGGAGGUUAUCCGGAGCACGGUGCUUGACAUGAGGUUAUCCGGAGCACAGUUAAGGUUAUAGAUUCCGACCGGGUGCGUCCCGAGAUCAAUAAUAGAUUUUGGAUCUGACUGGGUGCGUCCCGAGAUCAGUGAAUGUAGGGAGAAAGUGAGUAACAAUCGAACGUACAUGGGCGCCCUCGACAAGAAAAUAUUUUUGUCAUGCUUAGAAGUGGGAUUUCGUUUUAAAACCUUCUAAGUCAUGAUUUUGAUAUUGGAUAAACUGCCUUAACAUUUCAUAAAAUAUUUCGAAAACUUGUGCCCACUGAGUACAUUAGUACUCAGCCCAAAUUAUUUUCAAAUGUUUUCAGGUUGAUCAGUUGGUGCAGAUGAGGCUGAGCUGAGGCUAAGGUUCCACGAUGUCUUUUGUUUCCGCUAAUAACUAUCUUGUCACCUCAUCCUCCAUCCCCUAAAUUGAGAAUUUCUAUUGUGUGGUAUAAUAUUAUCUUGUUGGGCUUAGACUCUUAACCCAUAUUUCUUUUAAUGAAGCCAUCACUGAUUAUGAUCAGAGUCACGAAACUAAACUUAUGCGAUCCUGAGUUCGAAUAUUGUCAUUUGAUUAGCAUCUCUUAAUGCCUUUUAUUUUAUCUCCUUUCAUCUUAUCUCUUUAGAUAUGCAUACCCGAUUUAAUGGGUAAAUUGGCAAGUUUAUUCAGCUCAAUUAAGUUCUUCAAUUAUUUUCCUAUUUCUUCUUGCCGUGGAAAAGUCGGGUCGUUACA